Molecule: ribosomal RNA, 210 nt
Filed under: uncultured prokaryote
Description: partial 16S ribosomal RNA
Rfam family: Bacterial small subunit ribosomal RNA
Source: RNAcentral
ACAGAGGUGCCGAGCGUUAGGCGGAAUCACUGGGCUUAAAGCGUGUGUAGGCGGGGCGUUAAGUGUCUUGUGAAAUCCCACGGCCCAACCGUGGAAGUGCCCCGGAUACCGCCGGCCUCGAGGGAGGUAGGGGCGUGUGGAACUUCCGGUGGAGCGGUGAAAUGCGUAGAGAUCGGAAGGAACGCCGGUGGCGAAAGCGACACGCUGGAC